AUGCACGCUGGCGGCGUGCCUAAUCCAUGCAAGUCAAGCGAACAGACGAGGAGCUUGCUCCUCUGACGUUAGCGGCGGACGGGUGAGUAACACGUGGAUAACCUACCUAUAAGACUGGGAUAACUUCGGGAAACCGGAGCUAAUACCGGAUAACAUGUUGAACCGCAUGGUUCAACAGUGAAAGACGGUCUUGCUGUCACUUAUAGAUGGAUCCGCGCCGCAUUAGCUAGUUGGUAAGGUAACGGCUUACCAAGGCAACGAUGCGUAGCCGACCUGAGAGGGUGAUCGGCCACACUGGAACUGAGACACGGUCCAGACUCCUACGGGAGGCAGCAGUAGGGAAUCUUCCGCAAUGGGCGAAAGCCUGACGGAGCAACGCCGCGUGAGUGAAGAAGGUCUUCGGAUCGUAAAACUCUGUUAUUAGGGAAGAACAAAUGUGUAAGUAACUAUGCACGUCUUGACGGUACCUAAUCAGAAAGCCACGGCUAACUACGUG
RNAcentral lists this ribosomal RNA (496 nucleotides) under uncultured bacterium. RNAcentral describes it as "partial 16S ribosomal RNA". It matches the Rfam family "Bacterial small subunit ribosomal RNA", at positions 29 to 507 of the family's 1533-position model. The record is from RNAcentral.